Molecule: ribosomal RNA, 1480 nt
Filed under: uncultured Bordetella sp.
Lineage: Bacteria; Pseudomonadati; Pseudomonadota; Betaproteobacteria; Burkholderiales; Alcaligenaceae
Description: partial 16S-23S ribosomal RNA intergenic spacer
Rfam family: Bacterial small subunit ribosomal RNA
Source: RNAcentral
AGUUUGAUUUGCUCAGAUUGAACGCUGGCGGGAUAAGCCAGGCAUGCAAGCUUGAACGGCAGCAUGGACUUGGUCUGAAAAGGAGUAAGAAUCGGGUGGCAAUGUAUCAGAACGUGCCUAGUAGCGGGGGAUAAUUUACGGGAAAGGUAGCUACCGCCGCAUACGGCCCUUCGGGGGAAAGCGGGGGGACCUUUCGGGCCUCGCACUAUUAGAGCGGCCGAUAUCGGAUUAGCUUGCUGGUGGGGCAACGGCUCACCGGCGCGACGAUCCGCGGCUGGUUUGAGAGGACGACCAGCCACACUGGGACUGAGACACGGCCCAGACUCCUACGGGAGGCAGUGGGGAAUUUUGGAUAAUGGGGAAACCCUGAUCCAGCCAUCCCGCGUGUACAGACGUGAAGGGCCUUCGGGUUGUGAAGCAAUUUUUGGCAGGAAAGAAACGGUACGGGAUAAUACCCCAGCAACUGAUUGGCAUUCUUAACAGCACCGGCUAAAUUGCAUGUGCCAGCAGCCGCGGCAUGUAGGGUGCAAGCGUUAAUCGGAAUUACUGGGCGUAGCGUGCGCAGGCGGUUCGGAAAGAAAACAUGUGAAAUCCUAGAGCUUAACUUUUUGAACUGCAUUUUUAACUAAUGAGCUAGAGUGUGUCAGAGGGGAGUGAAUUCCGUGUAGCAGGAAUGUAGAUAUGCGGAGGAACACUGAUGGCGAAGGCAGCCUCCUGGGAUAACACUGACGCUCAUGCACGAAAGUGGGGAGCAACACAGGAUUAGAUACCCUGUAGUCCUCAUUUUCCCAAACGAUGUCAACUAGCUGUUGGGGCCUUCGGGCUCGGUAGCAAAGACCAUGGUGUAGUUGACCGCCUGGGGAGUGUACGGUCGCAAGAUUAAAACUCAAAGGGACUGACGGGGACCUGCACAAGCGGUGAUGAUGAUUAUCUGAUGCAACGCGAAAAACCUUACCUACUCCAGACAUGUUCAACCGAAGAGAUUUGGGGAGUGCCAAAAGAGAACCGGAACACAGGUGCUGCAUGGCUGUCGUCAGCUCGUGUCGUGAGAUGCUGUUGUCCCAACGAUGCAACCCUUGGUCAUUAGUUGCUACGAAAGGGCACUCUAAUGAGACUGCCGGUGACAAACCGGAGGAAGGUGGGGAUGACGUCAAGUCCUCGCGGUCUCUAUGGGUGUAGGGAAUGCUUCACACGUCAUACAAUUUUGGUCGGGACAGAGGGUCGCCAACCCGCGAGGGGGAGCCAAUCCCAGAAACCUGAUCGCAGUCCGGAUCGCAGUCUGCAAUUCGACUGCGUGAAGUCGGAAUCGGGUUAGUAAUCGCGGAUCUACAUGUCACCGCGGUGAAUACGUUCCCGGGUCUUGUACACAUCGCCCGUCACACCAUGGGAGUGGGUUUUACCAGAAGGUGAAGCUAGCCUAACCGUGAAGGAGGGCGAUUACCACGGUAGGAUUCAUGACUGGGGUAGUCGUAACAAGGUA